ACGUUGAUACAAUUUUCAUUCCAACAAAAGCUUUUUAUAUAUCCGUAACUGUCCUCAUAAAGGAGGCGUUACGGUAUUCCACAAUCUCUUUCCUAUUUAUUGAAACAAAUGAGUAUGUAUUCUCCCAGAAUCAACAAACUCACAAUAGAGUUGAAGCACAAAAUAGCAAUUGGUACCAAUCAUCCAUGUGAAGUAUACACACAAGGAGACAAUAGUCACCUCUUCUUUUUUCUUGGAUGCAUAUCAUUGCAAACGUGUUUAAGAGAGAGCUACUAUGGAUGAAGAUGGUUCCUUCUAUUGAUAGUAUUGCUGGAAGUAGAUGAUGAAGUGCAAAGAUCAAAAGAUGUGUGGAAGUCAAUAAGAGCUUUUAUGUUGAUAGUAAGUCAAUAAGAGCUUUUGUGUUGAUAUUUUAUUUUCUUAUUAUUAAAAUGUAAACUUUCAAUUUUUUCAUGAGAGCUGA
Molecule: long non-coding RNA, 460 nt
Organism: Capsicum annuum
Lineage: Eukaryota; Viridiplantae; Streptophyta; Magnoliopsida; Solanales; Solanaceae
Exons: 3
Source: RefSeq, a predicted model, not a curated record